CCUACGGGCGGCAGCAGUGAGGAAUAUUGGUCAAUGGACGAGAGUCUGAACCAGCCAAGUAGCGUGAAGGAUGACUGCCCUAUGGGUUGUAAACUUCUUUUAUAUGGGAAUAAAAUGUUCCACGUGUGGGAUUUUGUAUGUACCAUAUGAAUAAGGAUCGGCUAACUCCGUGCCAGCAGCCGCGGUAAUACGGAGGAUCCGAGCGUUAUCCGGAUUUAUUGGGUUUAAAGGGAGCGUAGGUGGAUUGUUAAGUCAGUUGUGAAAGUUUGCGGCUCAACCGUAAAAUUGCAGUUGAAACUGGCAGUCUUGAGUACAGUAGGGGUGGGCGGAAUUCGUGGUGUAGCGGUGAAAUGCUUAGAUAUCACGAAGAACUCCGAUUGCGAAGGCAGUUCACUGGACUGCAACUGACACUGAGGCUCGAAAGUGUGGGUAUCAAACAGGAUUAGAUACCCUAGUAGUC
Molecule: ribosomal RNA, 460 nt
Filed under: uncultured bacterium
Lineage: Bacteria
Description: partial 16S ribosomal RNA
Rfam family: Bacterial small subunit ribosomal RNA
Source: RNAcentral